AGAAAUUUACGCUAAUACCGCAUACGAUCUAAGGAUGAAAGCGGGGGAUCGCAAGACCUCGCGCAAUUGGAGCGGCUGAUAUCAGAUUAGCUUGUUGGUGAGGUAAAAGCUCACCAAGGCGACGAUCUGUAGCUGGUUUGAGAGAACGACCAGCCACACUGGGACUGAGACACGGCCCAGACUCCUACGGGAGGCAGCAGUGGGGAAUUUUGGACAAUGGGCGAAAGCCUGAUCCAGCAAUGCCGCGUGUGGGAAGAAGGCCUUCGGGUUGUAAACCACUUUUGUACG
RNAcentral lists this ribosomal RNA (288 nucleotides) under uncultured Polaromonas sp. RNAcentral's name for it is "partial 16S ribosomal RNA". It matches the Rfam family "Bacterial small subunit ribosomal RNA", at positions 152 to 442 of the family's 1533-position model. Lineage: Bacteria; Pseudomonadati; Pseudomonadota; Betaproteobacteria; Burkholderiales; Comamonadaceae. The record is from RNAcentral.